Molecule: ribosomal RNA, 276 nt
Filed under: uncultured bacterium
Lineage: Bacteria
Description: partial 16S ribosomal RNA
Rfam family: Bacterial small subunit ribosomal RNA
Source: RNAcentral
UUUACCUACGGGGGGCAGCAGUGGGGAAUAUUGCACAAUGGGGGAAACCCUGAUGCAGCAAUGCCGCGUGGGUGAAGAAGCACUCCGGUGCGUAAAGCCCUGUCAGCAGGGAAGAAAAUGACAGUACCUGACCAAGAAGCCCCGGCUAACUACGUGCCAGCAGCCGCGGUAAUACGUAGGGGGCAAGCGUUAUCCGGAUUUACUGGGUGUAAAGGGAGCGUAGACGGCCAGACAAGUCAGAAGUGAAAACCCGCGGCUCAACUGCGGGAGUGCUUU